RNAcentral lists this ribosomal RNA (606 nucleotides) under Patescibacteria group bacterium. RNAcentral describes it as "partial 23S ribosomal RNA". It matches the Rfam family "Bacterial large subunit ribosomal RNA", at positions 1 to 526 of the family's 2925-position model. The record is from RNAcentral.
GGAAAAUCUCGUAAAGAGUAUAUGGCGGAUGCCUAGACAUAAGAAAACGAUGAAGGACGUAGCAGCCUGCGAUAAGCUGCGGUGAGGUGGCAAGCAACCUUUGACCCGCAGAUGUCCGAAUGGGGAAACCCACCGCGUAGAUAACGUGGUAAGCACAACCGUUUGGAUGUGCUGGAAGACCCGGCGAACUGAAACAUCUUAGUAGCCGGAGGAAAAGAGAACAAAACAGUUAUUCCCCAAGUAGUGGCGAGCGAAAGGGGAGGAGCCUAAACCUGCCGAACUGCAGUUUUGAUCCAGUUUACUGGUGAGAAGCCUGAAGGUGCUGGAACCAUAUGUUCCGCAGGGGUUGCAAGACAGCGUUUCUACUAUCUAGUUCAGUAGAGCAGAGUCAUAAAAAAUAAUUCUUAACAGAAGCGAGCUGGAAAGCUCAGCCAGAGAGGGUGAUAGCCCCGUAAGUGAAAAGAAAUAUUUCUCUGUCGCGCUUGUUCUUAAGUAGUGCGGGACUCGUGAAAUCCCGUAUGAAUCCGGGUCGACUAUGACCCAAGGCUAAAUAUUUCUUAUGAUCGAUAGUGAACCAGUACCGUGAGGGAAAGGUGAAAAGCAUCC